AUAUUUUAUGAUUAACUGAUUAAGGUUCAAACAUGAGGACAAAAUACCCUCAAGUUGUCCCGUUUCUAACAGAACGCCCGUCAAGAAAAGGGUCUUGAAGGAGUUGAGACGGAGUGUGACACUUGGUUGUACAACGCAAACACUCAAAGACAAGGAUUUCAAGGGGGAUGCUUGAGAGAGAAGCUCAAGGGAAAAUUCAAAAAAUGUGUAGCGG
This 214-nucleotide long non-coding RNA is filed under the name Capsicum annuum. Its description in RNAcentral is "long non-coding RNA (CANN_LNC022122)". Lineage: Eukaryota; Viridiplantae; Streptophyta; Magnoliopsida; Solanales; Solanaceae. The record is from RNAcentral.